AGCAUUUCCUUUUCCUCCUCUUCCUGUUCUCAUCAGCGUAUGUCAUGUCUAGGUUUAAUUUGGGGAAAGGAACAAAGCAAGGAAGGGAGGAAACAGAAAAAAACAUGAACAGAGUGACCGAGACUACAAAAGCACCCGCCUGCAGGCAGUGGUCUGCCAACUCAGAAAACACAUCUGGGGCUGGUCGUUCUUCAUCUGCAGUAAAUCUCUAAAAAUAAACUAAAAAGGUCUUCUUUCCUGAAGUUUCUAUAGACUUCGAUAUCAAGAUUCACUAGAUCCUGGAAGUGAAGUGUGAGAGCUGUGAAUAGCACAGCCCAAAACAGCAGGCAGGGCCGAAGAAAAGCAAGUCAGGUCUUGGAUUCCAAUGACCAUUUUCCCCUCAGGUUUUAACUGGCACAUCACUCCUCAGGGGUCGUUAUCUUCAUCUGUAAAAGCAGAAGUGGCAAAUGCAAUUCCACAGGCGUGGGGAUAUGGUGCGGUUCGUUGUAGCAUCAACAAGAAUCCCGUGAAGAAUGCAUGUAUCUGGACGGACAUCCAGUCAGUGAGAGACAGCUCUGAUACAAAGAUUUUACUGUGUUCAUUCCUAUUAAGACACACCCACUCUUCAGCUUGACCUGUGUACCCAACCUCCC
This is a long non-coding RNA of Bos indicus x Bos taurus (hybrid cattle), 632 nucleotides long. Lineage: Eukaryota; Metazoa; Chordata; Mammalia; Artiodactyla; Bovidae. The record is from Ensembl.